This 478-nucleotide ribosomal RNA is filed under the name uncultured bacterium. RNAcentral describes it as "partial 16S ribosomal RNA". It matches the Rfam family "Bacterial small subunit ribosomal RNA", at positions 28 to 507 of the family's 1533-position model. The record is from RNAcentral.
GAUGAACGCUGGCGGCGUGCUUAACACAUGCAAGUCGAACGAGAAAUGUAGACGGAAACCUUCGGGCGGAAGCCUUCAUUUCGAGUGGCGGACGGGUGAGUAACGCGUGGGUAACCUGCCUCAUACAGGGGGAUAACAGUUGGAAACGACUGUUAAUACCGCAUAAGACCACAGCAUCGCAUGAUGCGGGGGUAAAAACUCCGGUGGUAUGAGAUGGACCCGCGUUCGAUUAGCCAGUUGGCGGGGUAACGGCCCACCAAAGCGACGAUCGAUAGCCGAUCUGAGAGGAUGACCGGCCACAUUGGGACUGAGACACGGCCCAGACUCCUACGGGAGGCAGCAGUGGGGAAUAUUGCACAAUGGGGGAAACCCUGAUGCAGCGACGCCGCGUGAGUGAAGAAGUUCUUCGGUAUGUAAAGCUCUAUCAGCAGGGAAGAAAAUGACGGUACCUGAGUAAGAAGCCCCGGCUAACUACGUG